This 79-nucleotide ribosomal RNA is filed under the name Peptoclostridium sp. RNAcentral's name for it is "partial 16S ribosomal RNA". It matches the Rfam family "Bacterial small subunit ribosomal RNA", at positions 1 to 79 of the family's 1533-position model. Lineage: Bacteria; Bacillati; Bacillota; Clostridia; Peptostreptococcales; Peptoclostridiaceae. The record is from RNAcentral.
CUUUUUAAGAGUUUGAUCCUGGCUCAGGAUGAACGCUGGCGGCGUGCUUAACACAUGCAAGUCGAGCGAACAAAACGGG